CACUGCGCCCCGCUUCGAGGUGACCCCGCGGCCAGGCCGCCGGGUUGAAACGGGAAGCCGGUGACGUCCGGCGGCGCGGAUCUGCGAUCCGGCCGCGGCCAGUCCGGCACUGCCCCCGCAACGGUAAGCGCGUCCACAGCGCGGCAACCGCCACUGUGCCACCGGCCUCGCGCCACCGGCAUGGGAAGGCGCCGCGCCGGAACCGGUCCGCCGGUUCGGCCCGCAAGUCCGGAGACCGGCCCCGAAGCCCCCACAGGU
RNAcentral lists this non-coding RNA (258 nucleotides) under Lysobacter enzymogenes. The record is from RNAcentral. Lineage: Bacteria; Pseudomonadati; Pseudomonadota; Gammaproteobacteria; Lysobacterales; Lysobacteraceae.